Molecule: unclassified non-coding RNA, 364 nt
Filed under: air metagenome
Description: partial contains small subunit ribosomal RNA, internal transcribed spacer 1, and 5.8S ribosomal RNA
Rfam family: Eukaryotic small subunit ribosomal RNA (bases 1-46)
Source: RNAcentral
AAGUCGUAACAAGGUUUCCGUAGGUGAACCUGCGGAAGGAUCAUUAGAUUGAAUUAUCAUUGUUGCUCGAGUUCUUGUUUAGAUCUUUUACAAUAAUGUGUAUCUUUAUUGAAGAUGUGCGCUUAAUUGCGCUGCUUCUUUAGAGUGUCGCAGUGAAAGUAGUCUUGCUUGAAUCUCAGUCAACGCUACACACAUUGGAGUUUUUUUACUUUAAUUUAAUUCUUUCUGCUUUGAAUCGAAAGGUUCAAGGCAAAAAACAAACACAAACAAUUUUAUUUUAUUAUAAUUUUUUAAACUAAACCAAAAUUCCUAACGGAAAUUUUAAAAUAAUUUAAAACUUUCAACAACGGAUCUCUUGGUUCUC